RNAcentral lists this ribosomal RNA (442 nucleotides) under uncultured bacterium. Its description in RNAcentral is "partial 16S ribosomal RNA". It matches the Rfam family "Bacterial small subunit ribosomal RNA", at positions 338 to 795 of the family's 1533-position model. The record is from RNAcentral.
CCUACGGGUGGCAGCAGUGGGGGAUAUUGGACAAUGGGGGGAACCCUGAUCCAGCGACGCCGCGUGAGUGAAGAAGUCUCUCGGUAUGUAAAGCUCUAUCAGCAGGGAAGAAGACAUGACGGUACCUGAGUAAGAAGCCCCGGCUACCUACGUGCCAGCAGCCGCGGUAAUACGUAGGGGGCAAGCGUUAUCCGGAAUUAAUGGGUGUAAAGGGAGCGUAGACGGGGAUGUAAGGCUGGAGUGAAAGGCGAGGGCGCAACCCGCGGACUGCUCUGGACACUAGGGAACUGGAGUGCAGGAGAGGUGAGCGGAAUGCAUGGUGUAGCGGUGAAAUGCGUAGAGAUUAGGAGGAACACCAGUGGCGAAGGCGGCUCACUGGACUGUAACUGACGUUGAGGCUCGAAAGCGUGGGGAGCAAACAGGAUUAGAUACCCGAGUAGUC